GCCGUGGUGGUGCAGUGGUCAGCACACCCGAUCUGGUAUCCUAACUUCCUAAAACCGCUUACCUAAGUCCCUAAAUUCGCUUACCUGAGUUCCUAAUACCUUCUCUCGAGGAUCGUGAAGGUCGCGGGUUCAAAUCCUGCUCACGGCG
This 148-nucleotide transfer RNA is filed under the name Aureobasidium melanogenum CBS 110374. It matches the Rfam family "tRNA". From Rfam's summary of the family: Transfer RNA (tRNA) molecules are approximately 80 nucleotides in length. Their secondary structure includes four short double-helical elements and three loops (D, anti-codon, and T loops). Further hydrogen bonds mediate the characteristic L-shaped molecular structure. tRNAs have two regions of fundamental functional importance: the anti-codon, which is responsible for specific mRNA codon recognition, and the 3' end, to which the tRNAs corresponding amino acid is attached (by aminoacyl-tRNA synthetases). tRNAs cope with the degeneracy of the genetic code in two manners: having more than one tRNA (with a specific anti-codon) for a particular amino acid; and 'wobble' base-pairing, i.e. permitting non-standard base-pairing at the 3rd anti-codon position. The record is from Rfam by way of RNAcentral. Lineage: Eukaryota; Fungi; Ascomycota; Dothideomycetes; Dothideales; Saccotheciaceae.